GGUAGGGCGGCCGAGGUAAGCGGUGGAUUGUAGCCCCACAGACGGAGGUGUAAGUCCUCCUCCUACCA
Molecule: transfer RNA, 68 nt
Filed under: Trachipterus trachypterus (ribbon fish)
Lineage: Eukaryota; Metazoa; Chordata; Actinopteri; Lampriformes; Trachipteridae
Description: tRNA-Tyr
Rfam family: tRNA
About the family: Transfer RNA (tRNA) molecules are approximately 80 nucleotides in length. Their secondary structure includes four short double-helical elements and three loops (D, anti-codon, and T loops).
Source: RNAcentral